GCCAGACUCCUACGGGAGGCAGCAGUGGGGAAUAUUGCACAAUGGGGGGAACCCUGAUGCAGCGAUGCCGCGUGGAGGAAGAAGGUUUUCGGAUUGUAAACUCCUUUUAUCAGGGACGAUAAUGACGGUACCUGAAGAAAAAGCUCCGGCUAACUACGUGCCAGCAGCCGCGGUAAUACGUAGGGAGCGAGCGUUGUCCGGAAUUACUGGGUGUAAAGGGAGCGUAGGCGGGACGGCAAGUCAGAUGUGAAAACUGGGGGCUCAACUUUCAGACUGCAUUUGAAACUGCUGUUCUUGAGUGAAGUAGAGGUAAGCGGAAUUCCUAGUGUAGCGGUGAAAUGCGUAGAUAUUAGGAGGAACACCAGUGGCGAAGGCGGCUUACUGGACUGUAACUGACGUUGAGGCUCGAAAGCGUGGGGAGCAAACAGGAUUAGAUACCCCAGUA
This 445-nucleotide ribosomal RNA is filed under the name uncultured bacterium. Its description in RNAcentral is "bacterial SSU rRNA". It matches the Rfam family "Bacterial small subunit ribosomal RNA", at positions 330 to 792 of the family's 1533-position model. The record is from RNAcentral.